This 253-nucleotide ribosomal RNA is filed under the name uncultured bacterium. Its description in RNAcentral is "partial 16S ribosomal RNA". It matches the Rfam family "Bacterial small subunit ribosomal RNA", at positions 524 to 776 of the family's 1533-position model. The record is from RNAcentral.
UACGUAGGGUGCAGGCGUUACUCGGAAUUACUGGGCGUAAAGCGUGCGCAGGCGGUUUCUUAAGUCAGAUGUGAAAGCCCCGGGCUUAACCUGGGAACUGCGUUUGAAACUGGGAGACUGGAGUGUGGCAGAGGGGGGUGGAAUUCCACGUGUAGCAGUGAAAUGCGUAGAUAUGUGGAGGAACACCGAUGGCGAAGGCAGCCCCCUGGGUUAACACUGACGCUCAUGCACGAAAGCGUGGGGAGCAAACAGG